AGGCGGGGAUUUAUGGUGUGAGGGAGGCCCAGCGCCAUUGACGUGAGGGUCACGCUUCUGGGACCGCAGAGCGGCGUGGUUUGGGGCUGUAGCUGCCCAGGUCGAGGGGUUUCUGAGAAGCUGGGCUGUUGUGGCAGGUCUGGGUGGUCUCUGUCUGAAGGGAUGGGAGACUGAGGAGGUGAGAAUACUGAGACACCCCACAAUACUGCAGGUGCUACCGAGAUACUGAAUCAGUGCAGCUGGAGAUACCACAGACUUUCCUCACCUUCAUCCUCCCACCAGGGAAGGAUCCAUCCUUGAAACAUGGAGGCUGGCAGGACUUUCAGAAGUUACUCAGCUGGGAAACCAGAAGCCUAAAAAGUCUUGAGUCAAUGAUGCAGACUCCUACAUGCCCAGCUGUUUCUCAAGAGCUGCUGGUCCUGUCUUGAAGGGUUUCAAAGCUGAAGAGCAUAAGCAAGGU
Molecule: long non-coding RNA, 460 nt
Filed under: Taeniopygia guttata (zebra finch)
Lineage: Eukaryota; Metazoa; Chordata; Aves; Passeriformes; Estrildidae
Description: lncRNA (ENSTGUG00000023693.1)
Source: RNAcentral